This 1552-nucleotide long non-coding RNA is filed under the name Fragaria vesca (wild strawberry). Its description in RNAcentral is "long non-coding RNA (FVES_LNC001441)". Lineage: Eukaryota; Viridiplantae; Streptophyta; Magnoliopsida; Rosales; Rosaceae. The record is from RNAcentral.
UCUCGACAAUUCCAUUACCUCAAAAACCUGGCUGAUACUAAAAUCCCCAAUCUUCACCUUACCAUCACCUGAUUGAUAAUAAAAUGUAUCAUUUGCGUUUGAUUUUGCUCUGGUGGUCCAAGCAAACUCCCUACUGUACUCCUGAAAUAUUAAAACCCAAAAGAACUAAUCAACUAAUCGCGAUCGUUUCACAAUUUGUAUAUACUCGUAUGUUUGAAAGUUAAGCUGAAUCAUAGAUUAAUAGUUUUCACAUAAACUCAAACUAAAAUGAAACGAUCAUGCCUCCCUUCUCAUUAACAGGAUAAUCAUUAAUACAAUUAAGAUUAACUGAAUCAAACCAAGACUAACUUUUAGUUUAUUUGUGUUAUUCACUUCGACUGUGUGAUAUUCUAUCAUAACUCCACCGCAGGAUUUCAAUGGAAAUCAAUGGAAACAAUGGAAACAUAAUUCCAAAAUUACCUUCAAUGGAAACCUUCCAAAAUUCCAGUCUGCAUACCUUCAUGGAAAUCAAUGGAAACAGAAUUCCAAAAUUACCCAAUGAUAAAACAUACCUUUUCAGCCGAUUUGAUGAUGAUCUCCUCCUCCUCCAAUUGAAUUUGGGUUCAAUUCUGUCUUGCUUGUUUUUUCCACUUUCUUCGUAGAUGAAACUUCCACGUUCAUGCGUCUGGCAGUUUUUAUCUUCCCUGGAGAUCGUGCAACUGCACAUCUCUCUUUCUCUACUCGAAUACAAAUUUGCUCCCCAUCCAAAGCUACCCACCCUCAUACCCACCAAUCUAGCUGAAUGUCACAUGUCUUAUCUUUUAAUCACUCUAACCAUGGUUAACUAUAUGGGUUUAUAUUAGUAAAUUAUAUUAUCUUCUAACUGAUAAAGUAUAAAGUGUAUAGACAAAGAGAUAGCAAGAGAAUCAUCAUCUUAUUCAUUGAUAGGAGUCCUUUAUAUAGAGAAUUACACAAUACCAAUAUGGUAAGGAUAUGAAUACAUAGAUCUAGUCUAACUACAUAUCCUAUUGGUAUAAGGCCAAGGCACACAUAAAGAAUAUCUAGAAAGAUACAGAAUAUCCUAGAACACUCCCCCUUGUGCCGCGCGCUGAUAUGCCGAUAGUGCUGAUCUGUUGCCUCGUCAAAAACCCUGUGGGAGAAAAACUGAAUCUUGAUCGUAGGAGAAAAAGAGUACAACGCACCCUUCACAUUUGAUAGUGACAUGUAUGUAUGUGCUAGACUCCCUCUGAAGUUCGCACCUCCCCCUAAUCUUUACAUCAAUCAUAGGGCUCUUCCUGAUUCUUACUAAUCACGGAAAUUUCAACUUAGCAUGUCAAUGCUCUUUAACAUGUUUUCAAAUGUGGCAUUAGGCAAUAAUUAACUAAAUCAUGCCGUAUUGUCCUCAAAUGAUCUUUUACACUUCGAUCUUGAGGAGAAUGCCGCUUGUGAACUCAAAACAUAAGUUCGUGCAGAAAACUAGAUUUCCGCGUAGCAUAACCUUCAGUUACUAGAACAGCCGUAACUUCCUCUAGGAAAUACAUAUAAACGAACCGUAAAUGGUUUUGGAAACUAG